AAUGAAAUGGCUGAGCAAAAUAGGCAUUAGAUUGUAAAUCUAAGAACGAGAAAAUAUCUCUUUCAUUA
This 68-nucleotide transfer RNA is filed under the name Upogebia pusilla (Mediterranean mud shrimp). RNAcentral's name for it is "tRNA-Tyr". It matches the Rfam family "tRNA". Rfam says of the family: Transfer RNA (tRNA) molecules are approximately 80 nucleotides in length. Their secondary structure includes four short double-helical elements and three loops (D, anti-codon, and T loops). The record is from RNAcentral. Lineage: Eukaryota; Metazoa; Arthropoda; Malacostraca; Decapoda; Upogebiidae.